Molecule: ribosomal RNA, 2904 nt
Filed under: Klebsiella pneumoniae subsp. pneumoniae MGH 78578
Lineage: Bacteria; Pseudomonadati; Pseudomonadota; Gammaproteobacteria; Enterobacterales; Enterobacteriaceae
Description: bacterial LSU rRNA
Rfam family: Bacterial large subunit ribosomal RNA
Source: RNAcentral
GGUUAAGCGACUAAGCGUACACGGUGGAUGCCCUGGCAGUCAGAGGCGAUGAAGGACGUGCUAAUCUGCGAAAAGCGUCGGUAAGGUGAUAUGAACCGUUAUAACCGGCGAUGUCCGAAUGGGGAAACCCAGUGCAAUUCGUUGCACUAUCGUUAACUGAAUACAUAGGUUAACGAGGCGAACCGGGGGAACUGAAACAUCUAAGUACCCCGAGGAAAAGAAAUCAACCGAGAUUCCCCCAGUAGCGGCGAGCGAACGGGGAGCAGCCCAGAGUCUGAAUCAGCUUGUGUGUUAGUGGAACGGUCUGGAAAGUCCGACGGUACAGGGUGAUAGUCCCGUACACCAAAAUGCACAGGCUGUGAACUCGAAGAGUAGGGCGGGACACGUGGUAUCCUGUCUGAAUAUGGGGGGACCAUCCUCCAAGGCUAAAUACUCCUGACUGACCGAUAGUGAACCAGUACCGUGAGGGAAAGGCGAAAAGAACCCCGGCGAGGGGAGUGAAAAAGAACCUGAAACCGUGUACGUACAAGCAGUGGGAGCACCUUCGGGUGUGACUGCGUACCUUUUGUAUAAUGGGUCAGCGACUUAUAUUCUGUAGCAAGGUUAACCGUAUAGGGGAGCCGCAGGGAAACCGAGUCUUAACUGGGCGUUAAGUUGCAGGGUAUAGACCCGAAACCCGGUGAUCUAGCCAUGGGCAGGUUGAAGGUUGGGUAACACUAACUGGAGGACCGAACCGACUAAUGUUGAAAAAUUAGCGGAUGACUUGUGGCUGGGGGUGAAAGGCCAAUCAAACCGGGAGAUAGCUGGUUCUCCCCGAAAGCUAUUUAGGUAGCGCCUCGUGAACUCAUCUUCGGGGGUAGAGCACUGUUUCGGCUAGGGGGUCAUCCCGACUUACCAACCCGAUGCAAACUACGAAUACCGAAGAAUGUUAUCACGGGAGACACACGGCGGGUGCUAACGUCCGUCGUGAAGAGGGAAACAACCCAGACCGCCAGCUAAGGUCCCAAAGUCAUGGUUAAGUGGGAAACGAUGUGGGAAGGCACAGACAGCCAGGAUGUUGGCUUAGAAGCAGCCAUCAUUUAAAGAAAGCGUAAUAGCUCACUGGUCGAGUCGGCCUGCGCGGAAGAUGUAACGGGGCUAAACCAUGCACCGAAGCUGCGGCAGCGACACUAUGUGUUGUUGGGUAGGGGAGCGUUCUGUAAGCCUGCGAAGGUGUGCUGUGAGGCAUGCUGGAGGUAUCAGAAGUGCGAAUGCUGACAUAAGUAACGAUAAAGCGGGUGAAAAGCCCGCUCGCCGGAAGACCAAGGGUUCCUGUCCAACGUUAAUCGGGGCAGGGUGAGUCGACCCCUAAGGCGAGGCCGAAAGGCGUAGUCGAUGGGAAACAGGUUAAUAUUCCUGUACUUGGUGUUACUGCGAAGGGGGGACGGAGAAGGCUAUGUUAGCCGGGCGACGGUUGUCCCGGUUUAAGCAUGUAGGCUGGUUGUCCAGGCAAAUCCGGAUAAUCAAGGCUGAGGUGUGAUGACGAGGCACUACGGUGCUGAAGUAACAAAUGCCCUGCUUCCAGGAAAAGCCUCUAAGCAUCAGGUAACAUCAAAUCGUACCCCAAACCGACACAGGUGGUCAGGUAGAGAAUACCAAGGCGCUUGAGAGAACUCGGGUGAAGGAACUAGGCAAAAUGGUGCCGUAACUUCGGGAGAAGGCACGCUGGUGUGUAGGUGAAGUCCCUGCGGAUGGAGCUGAGACCAGUCGAAGAUACCAGCUGGCUGCAACUGUUUAUUAAAAACACAGCACUGUGCAAACACGAAAGUGGACGUAUACGGUGUGACGCCUGCCCGGUGCCGGAAGGUUAAUUGAUGGGGUUAUCCGUAAGGAGAAGCUCUUGAUCGAAGCCCCGGUAAACGGCGGCCGUAACUAUAACGGUCCUAAGGUAGCGAAAUUCCUUGUCGGGUAAGUUCCGACCUGCACGAAUGGCGUAAUGAUGGCCAGGCUGUCUCCACCCGAGACUCAGUGAAAUUGAACUCGCUGUGAAGAUGCAGUGUACCCGCGGCAAGACGGAAAGACCCCGUGAACCUUUACUAUAGCUUGACACUGAACAUUGAGCCUUGAUGUGUAGGAUAGGUGGGAGGCUUUGAAGCGUGGACGCCAGUCUGCGUGGAGCCAACCUUGAAAUACCACCCUUUAAUGUUUGAUGUUCUAACGUUGGCCCCUUACCGGGGUUGCGGACAGUGUCUGGUGGGUAGUUUGACUGGGGCGGUCUCCUCCCAAAGCGUAACGGAGGAGCACGAAGGUUAGCUAAUCCUGGUCGGACAUCAGGAGGUUAGUGCAAUGGCAUAAGCUAGCUUGACUGCGAGCGUGACGGCGCGAGCAGGUGCGAAAGCAGGUCAUAGUGAUCCGGUGGUUCUGAAUGGAAGGGCCAUCGCUCAACGGAUAAAAGGUACUCCGGGGAUAACAGGCUGAUACCGCCCAAGAGUUCAUAUCGACGGCGGUGUUUGGCACCUCGAUGUCGGCUCAUCACAUCCUGGGGCUGAAGUAGGUCCCAAGGGUAUGGCUGUUCGCCAUUUAAAGUGGUACGCGAGCUGGGUUUAGAACGUCGUGAGACAGUUCGGUCCCUAUCUGCCGUGGGCGCUGGAGAAUUGAGGGGGGCUGCUCCUAGUACGAGAGGACCGGAGUGGACGCAUCACUGGUGUUCGGGUUGUCAUGCCAAUGGCACUGCCCGGUAGCUAAAUGCGGAAGAGAUAAGUGCUGAAAGCAUCUAAGCACGAAACUUGCCCCGAGAUGAGUUCUCCCUGAGACUUUAAGUCUCCUGAAGGAACGUUAAAGACGAUGACGUUGAUAGGCCGGGUGUGUAAGCGCAGCGAUGCGUUGAGCUAACCGGUACUAAUGAACCGUGAGGCUUAACCUUAC